AGAGAGAGAGAGAGAGAGAGAGAGAGAGAAGUAAAGGCUGCUUCCUCAGUGAGCGUGGUUCGCUCCUCGUGACCGGAAGCGCGGCGGGUCGAGCCCGGAACACGCCGAUCUCGCCGAUUCCCUCUUAACGGUAUAUAUCGCUGCGAUCGAUCGUGGGGAUCGAUCCUGCCGCGUAUACGUUCUCGCCAGACCUCUCGUCCCCUCCUUUCCACCAUUCCCUUCUACAUUCCCUUCUCUCUCCUCUCACCCUUCUCUACCGUGCAUUCGAUCUUUCCUCUUCUCAUUCGUGCACAGCGAACCUUAUACCCUGCCCGAGUCUCUUUCUUUCGUUCGCGAUCCGCAACGAUGGCCAGAGACCCAGAUGCAUUCGGACGCGCUAUCUUUACGCGUGUCGCGCUACGAACACGGUCACGGAGAGAAACAAGAGCCAGAAGGGAGAAAGGAGGGAGGAGGACGCGAGAUUGAAUGUAAGCAUGGACGAAAAAGAAGAAUUCGAAAGAACGGAAGAUUCGUAAUAAAUGGAUGUACAACGACGACGUCACCGGCCGAUAGGAAGUUUCGAAAGACGCUGCGCGCGCCCAUUAUCAUCGCUCCCGUGCCCAUUAUGCGAUCGCCAGCCCCCGCGACCAAUCCGGAUUUUCGUGACAGUCGAGGCCGAUAUCGAGCAACGUUUAUUUUCUUUCUUUUUCUUUCUUUUUCAUGAGGGUCACGAGAAUAAAAACAAAAAUGAAGAGAACAGUCGAAGAAUGGAAGAAAAAUUAUUUAUCUCAAAAAUUAGAAUUCCAUGACUAAUGAUUAUUUUCUUUGUAUUUUUUCUUUUUACUGUAGUAUCAUAGUUAGAAAUAGAUAGAAAAAUAAUUUAAUAAAUAAUAGAAAAUUAGAUUUCUCGGAUCGGUAGAAUCUUAAAAGUUAAAUAAUAAUAUAAAAUAUGAUUUUCUUUCGAUAUUUAUCGAUUUUUAAUUAUUAAAUUUAUUUAAUUAUUUAUCAAACCGAUGAAUUUAAAAAACAAUCAUUGAUCACACGAUUACACGAUUAUUAUAUUUUCAAUAACAUUAUUAAUAUGCAAAAUGUAUUAUCACACUAUAAGUACGAUCAUCGGCCGCAGAAAGCGAAAGUGAUAAAAGAAGUUGCUGCAAAUGUACAUGCUAUGACCUUGUUCCCGAGUUGCAGAGAGUAGCGUGAUAUAUGGGUUCAUCGUACAAGGACGUUCAAGGUUACGAGCAUAAUAAAACCAGAAGUUAUGUACCGUAUGAAUUCAAACACUUACCGACAUCCGAGCAAUUCCCAGCCUAAACAAACAUCUAAUCAAACCUCGAACAUAACCACUUCAUGAAUUGAACGCUCUAUAUCUCCGUUAUUCUCACCUACAAAUUGCAAUAUCUAGAGACAUAUUCAAAGAACAAUAUUAUUAAAUUUAUAAACAGAAAAAAAAAGAACAAGUAAAAAUCUAAAAUACGAAAUAUAUUUAUUUAAAUAAAUGAAAUUAUUAUUAUAUUUUUAUUAUAUUAUUAUAUUAUAUAUUAACUUUUAUAACUUAUGAUUGAUUUAAAUGAAUCUUUUGAUGUUGGAAAUAAAAUACCUAUGUUAAACUUAA
Long non-coding RNA from Apis cerana (Asiatic honeybee), 1594 nucleotides. RefSeq lists it as uncharacterized. NCBI's taxonomy places the organism in Eukaryota, Metazoa, Arthropoda, Insecta, Hymenoptera, Apidae. The record is from RefSeq and is a predicted model, not a curated record.